UGGGGAAUAUUGGACAAUGGGGGCAACCCUGAUCCAGCCAUGCCGCGUGAGUGAUGAAGGCCUUCGGGUUGUAAAGCUCUUUUGGCGGGGACGAUGAUGACGGUACCCGCAGAAUAAGCCCCGGCUAACUUCGUGCCAGCAGCCGCGGUAAGACGAAGGGGGCAAGCGUUGUUCGGAAUUACUGGGUGAAAAGGGCGCGUAGGCGGUUUGCUUAGUCAGGCGUGAAAGCCCUGGGCUUAACCUGGGAUGUGCGCUUGAUACUGGCAGGCUUGAGUGUUGGAGAGGUUGGUGGAAUUCCCAGUGUAGAGGUGAAAUUCGUAGAUAUUAGGAAGAACACCGGUGGCGAAGGCGGCCAACUGGACCGCAACUGACGCUGAGGCGCGAAAGCGUGGGGAGCAAACA
RNAcentral lists this ribosomal RNA (402 nucleotides) under uncultured bacterium. RNAcentral describes it as "bacterial SSU rRNA". It matches the Rfam family "Bacterial small subunit ribosomal RNA", at positions 355 to 774 of the family's 1533-position model. The record is from RNAcentral.